UGGCGGCAGGCCUAACACAUGCAAGUCGAGCGGUAGCACAGAGAGCUUGCUCUCGGGUGACGAGCGGCGGACGGGUGAGUAAUGUCUGGGAAACUGCCUGAUGGAGGGGGAUAACUACUGGAAACGGUAGCUAAUACCGCAUAACGUCGCAAGACCAAAGUGGGGGACCUUCGGGCCUCAUGCCAUCAGAUGUGCCCAGAUGGGAUUAGCUGGUAGGUGGGGUAACGGCUCACCUAGGCGACGAUCCCUAGCUGGUCUGAGAGGAUGACCAGCCACACUGGAACUGAGACACGGUCCAGACUCCUACGGGAGGCAGCAGUGGGGAAUAUUGCACAAUGGGCGCAAGCCUGAUGCAGCCAUGCCGCGUGUGUGAAGAAGGCCUUCGGGUUGUAAAGCACUUUCAGCGGGGAGGAAGGCGGUGAGGUUAAUAACCUCAUCGAUUGACGUUACCCGCAGAAGAAGCACCGGCUAACUCCGUGCCAGCAGCCGCGGUAAUACGGAGGGUGCAAGCGUUAAUCGGAAUUACUGGGCGUAAAGCGCACGCAGGCGGUCUGUCAAGUCGGAUGUGAAAUCCCCGGGCUCAACCUGGGAACUGCAUUCGAAACUGGCAGGCUAGAGUCUUGUAGAGGGGGGUAGAAUUCCAGGUGUAGCGGUGAAAUGCGUAGAGAUCUGGAGGAAUACCGGUGGCGAAGGCGGCCCCCUGGACAAAGACUGACGCUCAGGUGCGAAAGCGUGGGGAGCAAACAGGAUUAGAUACCCUGGUAGUCCACGCUGUAAACGAUGUCGAUUUGGAGGUUGUGCCCUUGAGGCGUGGCUUCCGGAGCUAACGCGUUAAAUCGACCGCCUGGGGAGUACGGCCGCAAGGUUAAAACUCAAAUGAAUUGACGGGGGCCCGCACAAGCGGUGGAGCAUGUGGUUUAAUUCGAUGCAACGCGAAGAACCUUACCUGGUCUUGACAUCCACAGAACUUUCCAGAGAUGGAUUGGUGCCUUCGGGAACUGUGAGACAGGUGCUGCAUGGCUGUCGUCAGCUCGUGUUGUGAAAUGUUGGGUUAAGUCCCGCAACGAGCGCAACCCUUAUCCUUUGUUGCCAGCGGUCCGGCCGGGAACUCAAAGGAGACUGCCAGUGAUAAACUGGAGGAAGGUGGGGAUGACGUCAAGUCAUCAUGGCCCUUACGACCAGGGCUACACACGUGCUACAAUGGCAUAUACAAAGAGAAGCGACCUCGCGAGAGCAAGCGGACCUCAUAAAGUAUGUCGUAGUCCGGAUUGGAGUCUGCAACUCGACUCCAUGAAGUCGGAAUCGCUAGUAAUCGUAGAUCAGAAUGCUACGGUGAAUACGUUCCCGGGCCUUGUACACACCGCCCGUCACACCAUGGGAGUGGGUUGCAAAAGAAGUAGGUAGCUUAACCUUCGGGAGGGCGCUUACCA
This 1430-nucleotide ribosomal RNA is filed under the name Klebsiella pneumoniae. RNAcentral's name for it is "bacterial SSU rRNA". It matches the Rfam family "Bacterial small subunit ribosomal RNA". The record is from RNAcentral. Lineage: Bacteria; Pseudomonadati; Pseudomonadota; Gammaproteobacteria; Enterobacterales; Enterobacteriaceae.